CAGUCGCCGCGGUAAUACGUAGGGCGCAAGCGUUAUCCGGAAUUAUUGGGCGUAAAGAGCUCGUAGGCGGUCUGUCGCGUCUGCCGUGAAAGUCCGGGGCUCAACCCCGGAUCUGCGGUGGGUACGGGCAGACUAGAGUGAUGUAGGGGAGACUGGAAUUCCUGGUGUAGCGGUGAAAUGCGCAGAUAUCAGGAGGAACACCGAUGGCGAAGGCAGGUCUCUGGGCAUUAACUGACGCUGAGGAGCGAAAGCAUGGGGAGCGAACAGGAUUAGAUACCCCUGUAGUCCCUGUCUCUUAUAC
This 301-nucleotide ribosomal RNA is filed under the name uncultured bacterium. RNAcentral describes it as "partial 16S ribosomal RNA". It matches the Rfam family "Bacterial small subunit ribosomal RNA", at positions 509 to 807 of the family's 1533-position model. The record is from RNAcentral.